UGGGGAAUAUUGCACAAUGGGCGCAAGCCUGAUGCAGCCAUGCCGCGUGUAUGAAGAAGGCCUUCGGGUUGUAAAGUACUUUCAGCGGGGAGGAAGGGAGUAAAGUUAAUACCUUUGCUCAUUGACGUUACCCGCAGAAGAAGCACCGGCUAACUCCGUGCCAGCAGCCGCGGUAAUACGGAGGGUGCAAGCGUUAAUCGGAAUUACUGGGCGUAAAGCGCACGCAGGCGGUUUGUUAAGUCAGAUGUGAAAUCCUCGGGCUCAACCUGGGAACUGCAUCUGAUACUGGCAAGCUUGAGUCUCGUAGAGGGGGGUAGAAUUCCAGGUGUAGCGGUGAAAUGCGUAGAGAUCUGGAGGAAUACCGGUGGCGAAGGCGGCCCCCUGGACGAAGACUGACGCUCAGGUGUGAAAGCGUGGGGAGCAAACAGG
RNAcentral lists this ribosomal RNA (429 nucleotides) under Chloroflexota bacterium. Its description in RNAcentral is "Chloroflexi bacterium partial 16S ribosomal RNA". It matches the Rfam family "Bacterial small subunit ribosomal RNA", at positions 355 to 776 of the family's 1533-position model. The record is from RNAcentral. Lineage: Bacteria; Bacillati; Chloroflexota.